GUCUUCAAUUAGGCUUAGCUCACUCUGCAGGUGUUCGGAAGCUUCAUUUAUAGAUGUGCUUGUGGCAAAAACAGCUGUAUCAUCAGCAUAUGUUGCAACAGUGCAGUUGUUUGUAACUGAAAUGUCGGCCGUAUAUAGGGUGUAAAGAAUUGGUCCCAAUACGCUUCCUUGUGGGACGCCUGCGGUGAUGAGAAGUAGUGAUGAAGUAUCGGUUUUCUGCUGCACGUAAAAGCAUCUUUUAGCCAGAUAUGAUUUGAUUAAUAAAUAUUACAGAGCAGGUAGCCAUUUCUUUAUCUUGUACAACAAACCUUUGUGCCAGACUCGAUCGAACGCUUGUUGAACAUCAAGAAAUGCAGCAGUGCAGUAUUUUUUGUUUUCAAAUGCCGAAACUAUAUCAUUAAUAACCCUGUGACAUUGCUCAGGGGUCCCAUGACCCCUCCUGAAUCCGAAUUGGUAUUCAGGAAUGAUGGAAAGUUCGUCUAAAAUUGGUAACAUUCUCUUCAAUAGUAUUUUUUCAAACACUUUCGAGAAAAUUGUCAACAGACUAAUGGGACGGUAUGAUGUCAAUUCCGUUUCUAUUUUGUUUGGUUUUAGGAUCAUAACGAUCUCUGCACAUUUCCAUUGACUUGGAAAGUGGUCUAGUCUGAGAAUCGCGUUAAAUAUAAGAGUGAGAAACCCAAUGCAUUUUGGUGGUAAACUCUUUAGGGUGAUACCAUAUAUUUUAUAAGGGCCUAGUGCUUUUCUAUUGUUCAAGCAUUUGAUUUCUGUCACAACUUCUUCAUAUUUGAUGCUUUUAAUAGGCAAGCUCAUUUGGCAGGGUGACUCAAGGAAUUUUUCUACUUC
RNAcentral lists this long non-coding RNA (843 nucleotides) under Drosophila guanche. The record is from RNAcentral. Lineage: Eukaryota; Metazoa; Arthropoda; Insecta; Diptera; Drosophilidae.